GGGUUGUGAGGUUAAGCGACUAAGCGUACACGGUGGAUGCCCUGGCAGUCAGAGGCGAUGAAGGACGUGCUAAUCUGCGAUAAGCGUCGGUAAGGUGAUAUGAACCGUUAUAACCGGCGAUUUCCGAAUGGGGAAACCCAGUGUGAUUCGUCACACUAUCAUUAACUGAAUCCAUAGGUUAAUGAGGCGAACCGGGGGAACUGAAACAUCUAAGUACCCCGAGGAAAAGAAAUCAACCGAGAUUCCCCCAGUAGCGGCGAGCGAACGGGGAGCAGCCCAGAGCCUGAAUCAGUGUGUGUGUUAGUGGAAGCGUCUGGAAAGGCGUGCGAUACAGGGUGACAGCCCCGUACACAAAAAUGCACAURCUGUGAGCUCGAUGAGUAGGGCGGGACACGUGGUAUCCUGUCUGAAUAUGGGGGGACCAUCCUCCAAGGCUAAAUACUCCUGACUGACCGAUAGUGAACCAGUACCGUGAGGGAAAGGCGAAAAGAACCCCGGCGAGGGGAGUGAAAAAGAACCUGAAACCGUGUACGUACAAGCAGUGGGAGCACGCUUAGGCGUGUGACUGCGUACCUUUUGUAUAAUGGGUCAGCGACUUAUAUUCUGUAGCAAGGUUAACCGAAUAGGGGAGCCGAAGGGAAACCGAGUCUUAACUGGGCGUUAAGUUGCAGGGUAUAGACCCGAAACCCGGUGAUCUAGCCAUGGGCAGGUUGAAGGUUGGGUAACACUAACUGGAGGACCGAACCGACUAAUGUUGAAAAAUUAGCGGAUGACUUGUGGCUGGGGGUGAAAGGCCAAUCAAACCGGGAGAUAGCUGGUUCUCCCCGAAAGCUAUUUAGGUAGCGCCUCGUGAAUUCAUCUCCGGGGGUAGAGCACUGUUUCGGCAAGGGGGUCAUCCCGACUUACCAACCCGAUGCAAACUGCGAAUACCGGAGAAUGUUAUCACGGGAGACACACGGCGGGUGCUAACGUCCGUCGUGAAGAGGGAAACAACCCAGACCGCCAGCUAAGGUCCCAAAGUCAUGGUUAAGUGGGAAACGAUGUGGGAAGGCCCAGACAGCCAGGAUGUUGGCUUAGAAGCAGCCAUCAUUUAAAGAAAGCGUAAUAGCUCACUGGUCGAGUCGGCCUGCGCGGAAGAUGUAACGGGGCUAAACCAUGCACCGAAGCUGCGGCAGCGACRCUKAUGYGUUGUUGGGUAGGGGAGCGUUCUGUAAGCCUGYGAAGGUGURCUGUGAGGYAUGCUGGAGGUAUCAGAAGUGCGAAUGCUGACAUAAGUAACGAUAAAGCGGGUGAAAAGCCCGCUCGCCGGAAGACCAAGGGUUCCUGUCCAACGUUAAUCGGGGCAGGGUGAGUCGACCCCUAAGGCGAGGCCGAAAGGCGUAGUCGAUGGGAAACAGGUUAAUAUUCCUGUACUUGGUGUUACUGCGAAGGGGGGACGGAGAAGGCUAUGUUGGCCGGGCGACGGUUGUCCCGGUUUAAGCGUGUAGGCUGGUUUUCCAGGCAAAUCCGGAAAAYYAAGGCUGAGGCGUGAUGACGAGGCACUACGGUGCUGAAGCAACAAAUGCCCUGCUUCCAGGAAAAGCCUCUAAGCAUCAGGUAACAUCAAAUCGUACCCCAAACCGACACAGGUGGUCAGGUAGAGAAUACCAAGGCGCUUGAGAGAACUCGGGUGAAGGAACUAGGCAAAAUGGUGCCGUAACUUCGGGAGAAGGCACGCUGAUAUGUAGGUGAAGUCCCUCGCGGAUGGAGCUGAAAUCAGUCGAAGAUACCAGCUGGCUGCAACUGUUUAUUAAAAACACAGCACUGUGCAAACACGAAAGUGGACGUAUACGGUGUGACGCCUGCCCGGUGCCGGAAGGUUAAUUGAUGGGGUUAGCGCAAGCGAAGCUCUUGAUCGAAGCCCCGGUAAACGGCGGCCGUAACUAUAACGGUCCUAAGGUAGCGAAAUUCCUUGUCGGGUAAGUUCCGACCUGCACGAAUGGCGUAAUGAUGGCCAGGCUGUCUCCACCCGAGACUCAGUGAAAUUGAACUCGCUGUGAAGAUGCAGUGUACCCGCGGCAAGACGGAAAGACCCCGUGAACCUUUACUAUAGCUUGACACUGAACAUUGAGCCUUGAUGUGUAGGAUAGGUGGGAGGCUUUGAAGUGUGGACGCCAGUCUGCAUGGAGCCGACCUUGAAAUACCACCCUUUAAUGUUUGAUGUUCUAACGUUGACCCGURAUCCGGGUUGCGGACAGUGUCUGGUGGGUAGUUUGACUGGGGCGGUCUCCUCCUAAAGAGUAACGGAGGAGCACGAAGGUUGGCUAAUCCUGGUCGGACAUCAGGAGGUUAGUGCAAUGGCAUAAGCCAGCUUGACUGCGAGCGUGACGGCGCGAGCAGGUGCGAAAGCAGGUCAUAGUGAUCCGGUGGUUCUGAAUGGAAGGGCCAUCGCUCAACGGAUAAAAGGUACUCCGGGGAUAACAGGCUGAUACCGCCCAAGAGUUCAUAUCGACGGCGGUGUUUGGCACCUCGAUGUCGGCUCAUCACAUCCUGGGGCUGAAGUAGGUCCCAAGGGUAUGGCUGUUCGCCAUUUAAAGUGGUACGCGAGCUGGGUUUAGAACGUCGUGAGACAGUUCGGUCCCUAUCUGCCGUGGGCGCUGGAGAAYUGAGGGGGGCUGCUCCUAGUACGAGAGGACCGGAGUGGACGCAUCACUGGUGUUCGGGUUGUCAUGCCAAUGGCACUGCCCGGUAGCUAAAUGCGGAAGAGAUAAGUGCUGAAAGCAUCUAAGCACGAAACUUGCCCCGAGAUGAGUUCUCCCUGACUCCUUGAGAGUCCUGAAGGAACGUUGAAGACGACGACGUUGAUAGGCCGGGUGUGUAAGCGCAGCGAUGCGUUGAGCUAACCGGUACUAAUGAACCGUGAGGCUUAACCUUACAACGCCGAAGRUGUU
RNAcentral lists this ribosomal RNA (2930 nucleotides) under Escherichia coli. Its description in RNAcentral is "23S ribosomal RNA". It matches the Rfam family "Bacterial large subunit ribosomal RNA". Lineage: Bacteria; Pseudomonadati; Pseudomonadota; Gammaproteobacteria; Enterobacterales; Enterobacteriaceae. The record is from RNAcentral.